UGUUUGUAAGUUUUUUUGUUUUACGAAGUUUUGGAUUCUAGUAUUAGUACGGUAACUCAAAUUCAUUCGUCCCAUUUACCAAGAUAACACUGACACGUGGACUCUGAAGAAUUUCGUCCGCUGUAUUGAUUGCAUAUUUUUCAACGUCCCUCUCGAGAUGUUUUCACUCAUAUGGAGACGUUCGCCCGUUGGAAGGGAACGUAUCUAGCUGUCCAGCUUCUACAUGUGCAUCCUGUGGUACGUAAUACAGUGUCAUCAUAUUUACUUAGGUCAGUGCCUUAUACAUUUCUACAAAAAUAAACAACAUAGAUCUGAA
Molecule: long non-coding RNA, 316 nt
Organism: Ostrea edulis (European flat oyster)
Lineage: Eukaryota; Metazoa; Mollusca; Bivalvia; Ostreida; Ostreidae
Exons: 3
Source: RefSeq, a predicted model, not a curated record